CGAUAUUCACCCUGGAUAAUACAGAAUUUAUAGAGUUGCCUUCAACGAAUGAAAAGUUACUUCAUGGAUGACGAACGUUACGAGUCUAAAGGUGAAGGAACGGAAUAUUACCCCGACUAUGAAAG
Long non-coding RNA from Xenia sp. Carnegie-2017, 125 nucleotides. RefSeq lists it as uncharacterized. The transcript has 2 exons. The record is from RefSeq and is a predicted model, not a curated record. Lineage: Eukaryota; Metazoa; Cnidaria; Anthozoa; Malacalcyonacea; Xeniidae.